AACGAACGCUGGCGGCAUGCCUAACACAUGCAAGUCGAACGAGAUCUUCGGGUCUAGUGGCGCACGGGUGCGUAACGCGUGGGAAUCUGCCCCUUGGUUCGGAAUAACAGUUGGAAACGACUGCUAAUACCGGAUGAUGACGAAAGUCCAAAGAUUUAUCGCCAGAGGAUGAGCCCGCGUAGGAUUAGCUAGUUGGUGUGGUAAAGGCGCACCAAGGCGACGAUCCUUAGCUGGUCUGAGAGGAUGAUCAGCCACACUGGGACUGAGACACGGCCCAGACUCCUCCGGGUGGCAGCAGUGGGGAAUAUUGGACAAUGGGCGAAAGCCUGAUCCAGCAAUGCCGCGUGAGUGAUGAAGGCCUUAGGGUUGUAAAGCUCUUUUACCCGGGAUGAUAAUGACAGUACCGGGAGAAUAAGCUCCGGCUAACUCCGUGCCAGCAGCCGCCGUAA
This 449-nucleotide ribosomal RNA is filed under the name uncultured bacterium. Its description in RNAcentral is "partial 16S ribosomal RNA". It matches the Rfam family "Bacterial small subunit ribosomal RNA", at positions 29 to 523 of the family's 1533-position model. The record is from RNAcentral.